UUGCAGGCCCUGAUUGUCCAAACGCAAUUCUUGUACAAAUAUAAUAUCAAGAAAUGUGUAGGGGCAUCGUUGCUUGCAC
Molecule: non-coding RNA, 79 nt
Organism: Daphnia pulex (common water flea)
Lineage: Eukaryota; Metazoa; Arthropoda; Branchiopoda; Diplostraca; Daphniidae
Source: Rfam